Molecule: RNA transcript, 2302 nt
Organism: Pongo pygmaeus (Bornean orangutan)
Lineage: Eukaryota; Metazoa; Chordata; Mammalia; Primates; Hominidae
Gene name: cyclin-Y-like protein 2
Exons: 13
Source: RefSeq, a predicted model, not a curated record
AGUCUGGAGGUGAUUGCAGAAGGAGGAGCAGCUCCCUUUGUAGUCUCUUCAGGCAGUUGUUGUGUCUCUUCAGCGUUUGUUGGGUUCACAACCUAUUUAAAAGCCAGCUGGUCUUCGCCCUCCCAGACAAGUCAGCUCAAGGGAGGCGGUGGGGUGUGGGCCUUGGCCUGAGCGCCACCCAGGGCUGAGCUGUGGGGCAGGCAGGAGAGCAGCAGACAAGACCAUCUCUGCAAGUGCAGUGAAGCCCUGGCCUAGAGCAGCAGGUGUGAGAGGCCAAACCUGCAAGCUAAGGCACAGGUAGUAGCAGAGAGGAGUAGAGGCGCCCCAUGGGGAACACACUGAACUGUUGUGUGUGCCCCAAGUGGGGCUGGCACCGGGGACGUGUGUGGCCCUGUGAGCCUGAGAUCUGUGAGGCAGCAACUGGGAACACAACGCCAGUAGCACCAGUGCCUGUUGUUGUAGAGCCUACUGAAUUUGCUUUUGAAGCUGUUGAGAGCCUCCAUGUACACCACAUCCAUGACCGAGAGAUUCCAGAAGAUAGAGCUUUGGAGCCAAACCCUUCUGAUGAUCCAAGGGAAAGCACAAUCUUCUUGCAAAAAUCUCAAACAGAUGUUCAAGAAAAGAGAAAGAGCAACCACAUGAACCAUGUAUCUACUAAGCAUUUUACUAAAAAGUACAGCUCGUGUUCAACCAUAUACCUAGAUGACAGCACAGCCAGCCAGCCUCAUCUUACAAUCAUAGUAAAAUCUGUGGCCUUAGCAAUAUAUUAUCACAUGAAGAAAAGAGAUGCAGAUAAAUCCCUCGAUAUGUUUGACGAGCAAGUACAUCCACUCACUCAAGAAAAGAUGCCAAAGGAAUACUUUGAGUAUGUUCCUGAACACAAGUUUAUUUACAGAUUUGUCCAUGUUCUUUUUAAAGCCACAAACCUAACAGCUGAAUUUGCAAUAGUAACUUUGAUUUACAUAGAAAGACUCUUAAGUUAUGCAGAGAUAGACCUUUGCCCGACCAACUGGAAGAGGAUUGUCAUGGGAGCCAUUCUUCUCACCUCCAAAGUUUGGAAAGAUGUGACUAUAUGGAAUAGGGAAUACUGCAGGCUCUUUGUGAACACUAGCAUUGAAGACAUGAAUGAGCUUGAAAGACAGUUUUUGCAGCUAAUUGACUAUAACGUCAAAGUUUCUGGAAGUGUUUAUGCCAAGUACUAUUUUGAUCUUCGAUCCUUGGCAAAGGACAGUAGCUUGCAUUUGCCAGUUUAUCUUCUCAACAAAGAAAGGGCACAGAACCUGGAAGCUAUUUCAAGGAUGGAAGACGCCAAAAUCUUUUAUAGUGCUACCAUGAGAAGGUCCUUCAGCGCUGAUAAUUUCAUUAAUCUUCAGUGCUCUAAAGCCAUUAUCUCUUGAAGGAAGAAAUGAGGGGCUAUAUCAUCUGAACCCCUCAUCAAAAAAGACCGGAAAAUAUUACCUCUCCUGCUCAACAACUAGAAAAGUUAGUAUUUUCAAAAGAAGAAAGAUCUCAAAGUUGAGAGGCUUGUGGACAACCAGGAUUGCACUCCACAGGAAAAAAAUGGGAUCUUUGCACUGCAACAACUCUUGUACACUCUUCUGUCUUUUUAAACGUAAACAGUAUUGCUGCAGAUGCAUUUAAAAUAAAUGCAGUAUUACUAUUAAAACAUGGGACUGUAACAACUCAUGAAGCCACUAGAAGCAGACUGCUCAUUUUCAGGUGUUGAAGGGUUCUUCCUGCCUACUUUUACCAUCGGAGCUGCUCGUCACUGGCAAUCAUUUUAAACAUAAGCUGAUGGAGGACAUUUGCCAUUCAUAUCUUUUGAUUGCAGUAGAAACCAGCCGAGAAAAAAGAUGCCAGAGUUCUUGGAAAAAUGAAGAGAAGAUUUGGACAUGACACACACAGAGGGAAUCCCACAGGGAGAAGAUGGCUGUCUGCAAUUCAGAAGAGCAGCCUCAGAAGAAACCAACCUGCCAACAUCUUUAUUUGCGACUUCCAGCCUCCUAAACUGUGAGAAAAUUAAUUUCUGUUGUUUAAGCAUCCAGAAUGUGAGACUUCAUUAUAGCAGCCCUAGCAAAUUAAUACAGGCAGCAAACAACCAGAUGUCCCACUUGAAAAACUCAUCCAAGAAAUAGAAAAAUAAAUGUUGUGGGAAUGAUGUUUGAUGGCAGGGUUUUAUUCUGCAGUUGCCUACGGGAAUGACAACAGAAGACUGUAAGACAGUGUAUUUCAAAAUGAGCUCUGCAGAAAACCAGUAUGAAAGACUCUGAAAAAAUUGAAAUAAUAAAUUUUCAAGAACACU